CAAUAGCGUAUAUUAAAGUUGUUGCAGUUAAAAAGCUCGUAGUUGGAUUUCUGCUGAGGACGAUCGGUCCGCCCACUGGGUGAGUAUCUGGCUCGGCCUUGGCAUCUUCUUGGAGAACGUUGCUGCACUUGACUGUGUGGCGCGGUAUCCAGGACUUUUACUUUGAGGAAAUUAGAGUGUUUCAAGCAGGCGCACGCCUUGAAUACAUUAGCAUGGAAUAAUGAGAUAGGACCUUGGUUCUAUUUUGUUGGUUUCUAGAGCUGAGGUAAUGAUUAAUAGGGAUAGUUGGGGGCAUUCGUAUUUAACAGUCAGAGGUGAAAUUCUUGGAUUUGUUAAAGACGGACUACUGCGAAAGCAUUUGCCAAGGAUGUUUUCAUUGA
This 380-nucleotide ribosomal RNA is filed under the name uncultured eukaryote. RNAcentral describes it as "partial 18S ribosomal RNA". It matches the Rfam family "Eukaryotic small subunit ribosomal RNA", at positions 592 to 976 of the family's 1831-position model. The record is from RNAcentral.